Molecule: ribosomal RNA, 254 nt
Filed under: uncultured bacterium
Lineage: Bacteria
Description: partial 16S ribosomal RNA
Rfam family: Bacterial small subunit ribosomal RNA
Source: RNAcentral
UACGGGGGGAGCAAGCGUUGUUCGGAUUUACUGGGCGUAAAGGGCGCGUAGGCGGCCUCCGCAAGUCAGUUGUGAAAUCUCCGAGCUUAACUCGGAAAGGUCAACUGAUACUGCAGGGCUAGAGUGCGGAAGGGGCAACUGGAAUUCUUGGUGUAGCGAUGAAAUGCGUAGAUAUCAAGAGGAACACCUGCGGCGAAGGCGGGUUGCUGGGCCGACACUGACGCUGAGGCGCGAAAGCUAGGGGAGCGAACGGG